CCUACGGGAGGCAGCAGUGGGGAAUAUUGGACAAUGGGGGGAACCCUGAUCCAGCCAUGCCGCGUGUGUGAAGAAGGCCCUCGGGUUGUAAAGCACUUUCAGUGAGGAAGAACGCCUGGUGGUUAAUACCCAUCAGGAAAGACAUCACUCACAGAAGAAGCACCGGCUAACUCCGUGCCAGCAGCCGCGGUAAUACGGAGGGUGCGAGCGUUAAUCGGAAUUACUGGGCGUAAAGCGCGCGUAGGUGGCUUGAUAAGCCGGUUGUGAAAGCCCAGGGCUCAACCUGGGAACGGCAUCCGGAACUGUCAAGCUAGAGUGCAGGAGAGGAAGGUAGAAUUCCCGGUGUAGCGGUGAAAUGCGUAGAGAUCCGGAGGAAUACCAGUGGCGAAGGCGGCCUUCUGGACUGACACUGACACUGAGGUGCGAAAGCGUGGGUAGCAAACAGGAUUAGAUACCCGUGUAGUC
Molecule: ribosomal RNA, 465 nt
Filed under: Vreelandella stevensii
Lineage: Bacteria; Pseudomonadati; Pseudomonadota; Gammaproteobacteria; Oceanospirillales; Halomonadaceae
Description: partial 16S ribosomal RNA
Rfam family: Bacterial small subunit ribosomal RNA
Source: RNAcentral